RNAcentral lists this small nuclear RNA (253 nucleotides) under Ochotona princeps (American pika). RNAcentral's name for it is "7SK RNA (ENSOPRG00000022696.1)". It matches the Rfam family "7SK RNA", at positions 1 to 288 of the family's 331-position model. From Rfam's summary of the family: 7SK was discovered as an abundant small nuclear RNA in the mid-70s but a possible function has only recently been suggested. Two independent studies have found that 7SK RNA binds the CDK9/cyclin T complex (known as elongation factor P-TEFb). Lineage: Eukaryota; Metazoa; Chordata; Mammalia; Lagomorpha; Ochotonidae. The record is from RNAcentral.
AGAUAUGAGGGCAGUCGGACUGUGAGUGGCUGACAUUUGGCUGGCCAGGAGGGUGUCCCUUUCCUGCCUCCUGGCUCCAUGUGCAUCCCUCCCGGAGCUGCGCUCCCAGUCAGAGAGGAUGACCAUCCUCCCUAGAGGAGGACUGGUCUUCUGUCAAGGAUGUAGGAGUAGCUGCACUCCCCUGCUAGAACCUCCAAACAAACUGUCAAGUUAAUAGGGUGUACAAUGAUAAAACAGCUUUUGAUAAGUUUUU